This 600-nucleotide ribosomal RNA is filed under the name Escherichia coli. RNAcentral's name for it is "bacterial SSU rRNA". It matches the Rfam family "Bacterial small subunit ribosomal RNA", at positions 41 to 630 of the family's 1533-position model. Lineage: Bacteria; Pseudomonadati; Pseudomonadota; Gammaproteobacteria; Enterobacterales; Enterobacteriaceae. The record is from RNAcentral.
GGGGGGCGACUACCAUGCAAGUCGAACGGUAACAGAAAGCAGCUUGCUGCUUUGCUGACGAGUGGCGGACGGGUGAGUAAUGUCUGGGAAACUGCCUGAUGGAGGGGGAUAACUACUGGAAACGGUAGCUAAUACCGCAUAACGUCGCAAGACCAAAGAGGGGGACCUUCGGGCCUCUUGCCAUCGGAUGUGCCCAGAUGGGAUUAGCUAGUAGGUGGGGUAAAGGCUCACCUAGGCGACGAUCCCUAGCUGGUCUGAGAGGAUGACCAGCCACACUGGAACUGAGACACGGUCCAGACUCCUACGGGAGGCAGCAGUGGGGAAUAUUGCACAAUGGGCGCAAGCCUGAUGCAGCCAUGCCGCGUGUAUGAAGAAGGCCUUCGGGUUGUAAAGUACUUUCAGCGGGGAGGAAGGGAGUAAAGUUAAUACCUUUGCUCAUUGACGUUACCCGCAGAAGAAGCACCGGCUAACUCCGUGCCAGCAGCCGCGGUAAUACGGAGGGUGCAAGCGUUAAUCGGAAUUACUGGGCGUAAAGCGCACGCAGGCGGUUUGUUAAGUCAGAUGUGAAAUCCCCGGGCUCAACCUGGGAACUGCAUCUGA